GGUGGCUCAGUGGUAGAGUAUUUGCCUUGUAUGCAUUAGGCCCUGGGUUCGAUUCCUCAGCACCA
RNAcentral lists this transfer RNA (65 nucleotides) under Dipodomys ordii (Ord's kangaroo rat). It matches the Rfam family "tRNA". From Rfam's summary of the family: Transfer RNA (tRNA) molecules are approximately 80 nucleotides in length. Lineage: Eukaryota; Metazoa; Chordata; Mammalia; Rodentia; Heteromyidae. The record is from Rfam by way of RNAcentral.